UACGUAGGGUGCAAGCGUUAAUCGGAAUUACUGGGCGUAAAGCGUGCGCAGGCGGUUCUAUAAGACAGAUGGGAAAUCCCCGGGCUCAACCUGGGAACUGCAUUUGUGACUGUAGAGCUGGAGUACGGCAGAGGGGGAUGGAAUUCCGCGUGUAGCAGUGAAAUGCGUAGAUAUGCGGAGGAACACCGAUGGCGAAAGCAAUCCCCUGGGCCUGUACUGACGCUCAUGCACGAAAGCGUGGGGAGCAAACAGG
RNAcentral lists this ribosomal RNA (253 nucleotides) under uncultured bacterium. Its description in RNAcentral is "partial 16S ribosomal RNA". It matches the Rfam family "Bacterial small subunit ribosomal RNA", at positions 524 to 776 of the family's 1533-position model. The record is from RNAcentral.